CUCGAGGAUAAGGUCAAGAGGGAAUACACCCUCGUCAUGAGCCUCUACCAGGCUGCGUGGUCGGACGUGAUGGUCGCGUGGAUCCACAUCAAGGCCAUGCGCGUGUUUGCGGAGAGCGCCUUGUGGUCGGGCUUGCCGCCCAAGUUUGCGGCCUUUGUCGUCAGCCCCGUGCCAGGCAAGGGCGACGCGGUGCGGAAGGUGCUCGCCGACAAGCUAGGGAAGCUGGGUGGCGGAACCGGCCCUGGCAGCAAAGGCGAC
Molecule: non-coding RNA, 258 nt
Filed under: Prorocentrum minimum
Lineage: Eukaryota; Dinophyceae; Prorocentrales; Prorocentraceae
Source: RNAcentral